This 525-nucleotide ribosomal RNA is filed under the name uncultured Glomus. Its description in RNAcentral is "SSU rRNA". It matches the Rfam family "Eukaryotic small subunit ribosomal RNA", at positions 569 to 1093 of the family's 1831-position model. The record is from RNAcentral. Lineage: Eukaryota; Fungi; Glomeromycota; Glomeromycetes; Glomerales; Glomeraceae.
AGCAGCCGCGGUAAUUCCAGCUCCAAUAGCGUAUAUUAAAGUUGUUGCAGUUAAAAAGCUCGUAGUCGAAUUUCGAGACCGGUUUAUUGGUCGUGCUUUUGUACGUACUGGUAUUAUUGGUUUCUCCUUUCUGACGAAUCUUAAUGCCAUUAAUUUGGUGUUUUGGGGAAUCAGGACUGUUACUUUAGAAAAAAUUAGAGUGUUUAAAGCAGGCUCACGCUUGAAUACAUUAGCAUGGAAUAACGGAAUAGGACGUUUGAUUCUAUUUUGUUGGUUUCUAGGAUCGACGUAAUGAUUAAUAGGGAUAGUUGGGGGCAUUAGUAUUCAAUUGUCAGAGGUGAAAUUCUUGGAUUUAUUGAAGACUAACUACUGCGAAAGCAUUUAGCCAAGGAUGUUUUCAUUAAUCAAGAACGAAAGUUAGGGGAUCGAAGACGAUCAGAUACCGUCGUAGUCUUAACCAUAAACUAUGCCGACUAGGGAUCAGAUGAUGUUUAAUUUUUUAAUGACUCAUUCGGCGCCUUACGG